CAAGCUUGUACAGCCUGCAGAACUGUGAGGCAAUGAAACCUCUUUUCUUUGUAAAUUACUCAGUCUCAGGUAUUUCAUAGCAACAUACAAAUGGCCUAACACAGUAAAUUUGUAUUAUUUGUUGAAUGUUAUGAAUGCUAUCAUGUCUUAGUUUGUUUCCUUUUUAAGGAUGUUAAAUAUUUUUAUGCAAAAUAACCAAAUUACUGGUAGAUCCUGUGGAGCUGUUUUCUUUGGUUAUGAUGUCACUAUUUCACUUUUCAAUGAAAUCCUAGAAUGUUGCCUUUAUGUUAAAAUGUGAGUCUUGUGUAUGAGACAUAUCAUUUUCUGGGAUCUCAAGUGGAUGCUCAAGGUGUGUAGUGAGGUUUCUACACCGUUGUUUUGUCAGAACAUCAAUGUCCAUGAGUUCUACAGGACCUCCUGUAUCUCCGUUCAGCUGCCAACUCUGUAGCAAGUCCUUCCUGCAAGGCCUUAAGGAGUCUCUUGUGGAUGCGCGUCCAGCCCUGUGCAAGGCUUCAAAGCAUUUCCUGAGUAAACCCUUAGUCAAUGACUCAAGUCAUGCUAUGAGCAACAAUUUCUGUGUUCCACAUCAUGCACAAGCAACACAAUUCUGUGACUCUCCAUCUGUUCCCAAGUUAUGCUUUGGCCAGUAAUCCAAUUGCUACCAUCGUACCUUCCUCUUAAAGAGUCCUUGGAUAUUCCUUCGUAGCUGGAGGGAAGUUACUUCUUUAGGGUUAUUUGGGCACUUGGGGAACCUUUGUCAUCUUUAUGACUUAAAUUUGACUUCCAAAAUAAAUAAGACAUACAAGGAAAGAACAUCAAUUUAAUAGAAAAGUUCAACAUAUUUCCAUGUGGAUGUCUUUUUUACAUUAAUUUGGCAUCUCCUUUCUGUCCUACUCAACCCUCUUAAAUAGAAAACAGAGAGUCAAUUAUUUGAUUGGCUGUAUUAGGGAAAGAAUUAGGGCCAAACCUGUUUGUCCUUUUGUUCUCUGUUUAUUUGGAAAUCUGAAAUAUAAUCUAUUCUUGGAUUAUCUGCAACAUAAAUUUUCAAGGGCAGGGAAGGCUGAAGUCUUCAGUUCAUCAAUAACUGGUUGGGUUCAAUGCAGGGUCGCUGAACAGGAAGCACACUUUUGCAGAGGAGGGAGCCAUUCUGUGCAAACAGCCUGAUCAGUAAUAAAGGCAGUGAUUUUGUUGUC
Macaca mulatta (Rhesus monkey) is the source of this 1193-nucleotide non-coding RNA. NCBI's taxonomy places the organism in Eukaryota, Metazoa, Chordata, Mammalia, Primates, Cercopithecidae. The record is from RefSeq and is a predicted model, not a curated record.